CAGGAAAGGGACGGCUAAAUACGUGCCAGCAGCCGCGGUAAUACGUAUGUCCCGAGUCGUUAUCCGGAUUUAUUGGGCGUAAAGCGAGCGCAGACGGUUUAUUAAGUCUGAUGUGAAAGCCCGGAGCUCAACUCCGGAAUGGCAUUGGAAACUGGUUAACUUGAGUGCAGUAGAGGUAAGUGGAACUCCAUGUGUAGCGGUGGAAUGCGUAGAUAUAUGGAAGAACACCAGUGGCGAAGGCGGCUUACUGCACUGCAACUGACGUUGAGGCUCGAAAGUGUGGGUAGCAAACAGGAUUAGAUACCCUGGUAGUCCACACCGUAAACGAUGAACACUAGGUGUUAGGAGGUUUCCGCCUCUUAGUGCCGAAGCUAACGCAUUAAGUGUUCCGCCUGGGGAGUACGACCGCAAGGUUGAAACUCAAAGGAAUUGACGGGGACCCGCACAAGCGGUGGAGCAUGUGGUUUAAUUCGAAGCAACGCGAAGAACCUUACCAGGUCUUGACAUCCUUUGAAGCUUUUAGAGAUAGAAGUGUUCUCUUCGGAGACAAAGUGACAGGUGGUGCAUGGUCGUCGUCAGCUCGUGUCGUGAGAUGUUGGGUUAAGUCCCGCAACGAGCGCAACCCUUAUUGUUAGUUGCCAGCAUUCAGAUGGGCACUCUAGCGAGACUGCCGGUGACAAACCGGAGGAAGGCGGGGACGACGUCAGAUCAUCAUGCCCCUUAUGACCUGGGCUACACACGUGCUACAAUGGCGUAUACAACGAGUUGCCAGCCCGCGAGGGUGAGCUAAUCUCUUAAAGUACGUCUCAGUUCGGAUUGUAGUCUGCAACUCGACUACAUGAAGUCGGAAUCGCUAGUAAUCGCGGAUCAGCACGCCGCGGUGAAUACGUUCCCGGGUCUUGUACACACCGCCCGUCACACCAUGGGAGUUUGUAAUGCCCAAAGCCGGUGGCCUAACCUUUAGGAAGGAGCCUUUAAAG
This 980-nucleotide ribosomal RNA is filed under the name Leuconostoc mesenteroides. Its description in RNAcentral is "bacterial SSU rRNA". It matches the Rfam family "Bacterial small subunit ribosomal RNA", at positions 483 to 1461 of the family's 1533-position model. Lineage: Bacteria; Bacillati; Bacillota; Bacilli; Lactobacillales; Lactobacillaceae. The record is from RNAcentral.